UAAUAAUAUUACGUAAAUUUGCAAAUAGUGAUUAAAGUGGUAUAAAGUCCAGAAAGGCAAAGCAGUUUGGAUAAAAGAGCAGUGUCCACAAAAAACUGAGAAAAAGAGGCAUACAUUUAGAGAGCGAGGGUAGAGAAAGAGAAAUGGAAAAAGAGAAGUUGAGUGAUAAAGGGAGAGAGAGCAAGAAAUAGAGAGAAGUAGAGAGAAAGAAAAAUAAACAAAUAGAGAUGUAGUUUCUAAGUGGUUGCUAGGUGGUUCCUUAAGGGUUGCUAGGUGGUUGCUAUGGUGUUGCUAUGGUGUCCGUGGUGGUUUAAUAGUUUUAAUAAUUAAUAAUUAUUUAAUGACUGCAGUAAAAUUAUUCUGGGGAAUAGGGUAUCUGCAUUUUAAACUUUGUUUUUAAACCUGAGCCUGUAAAAUUUCUAUUUUUUUGUCAAGGAGCUACCAAUAAGUAGUUAGAGCAUUCCAAUGUUGAGAGAUCAUAUAACUGAUAUUAAUUUUUUACUUCUUGCAUCUUUGGUUCUAUCUAUUCAUGUACAUGAACUUUCUAAAAAUUACUUUCUAAUGUUUAACCUUUUAUUAUUUUACAUUUUCCUUCAGGAAAUGCCUAUCUAAUUUUAUUUAUGUUUUAUAUUUUUAUUUUUUUAUGUAUUCUUUGCAAAACGAGUUUAAUAAUUGAAUGCUAAAAUAAACUGGUCAAAUAAAUCACAAACAUUUUUGAUUAAUAGAUAAAUUUGUCUAAGAUGAAUUCUCUUUCAACUUUUGCUUGAGUUACUUCUAGCAUGAAAUAAAAUAGAAAAACUUGCAAAUAUUAUAAAAAAGUAAUAACAUGCAUUUAAUUUAAUUUCAAUGCUGAAAAAUAAAGAGUUGGUUAGGACCUUCAUUAAGUCCAAUGAUUCCUGAUAAAUUGACUCUGUGAUAACCACAUAACGUUGUCACCUCUAGAUGGCAGUAAAGCGGUGAGCAUUAACACAUCAUUUUUAAUGCUCAUUCCUUCUGAAGUGAACUUGAUUAGUUAAAACGCUUUUAAUGUUACCCCAAAUAAUUCACUAAACAUUUAACUGAAAGUCUCAAACCCCAUACAUGUAUUGUCCUUUAGAUAUUAAUAAUAAAGCACAGCGUGGGUUCAGAAUUGGUUUAUUCUAAAUAAUUUCAUGUAGUGAGUAGGGAAGAAGGGAGCAUCGCGUGAACUGGACGCGCCCCACGGACCUGCUGUAGCUGCGCGCGCAGAGGAGCGGCUCUAUUGCUCGUUCUGAGUUGAUGCCUUCCUUGACAUUUCUUGUGUUGUCGAAACAUCUUCUAUUCUCAAAGUCCUGCCAGACUUCUCUCUUGCUUUCCAUCUGUUUUUCUGUGCCCCCUUAAACUUCAUCCCCUGCCUCCUUUCUCUUUUCUGCCUUUUCUAUCGGUCACAGACACUGUUCUGUACCAGGCGACCUCAAGGACCAGGUGGUCACAGACACUGUUCUGUACCAUCUGUAUUAAAGGACCAGGUGGUCACAGACACUGUUCUGUACCAUCUGUAUUAAAGGACCAGGUGGUCACAGACACCGUUCUGUACCAUCUGUAUUAAAGGACCCAGGUGGUCACAGACACUGUUCUGUACCAUCUGUAUACCCAGUGAAUAAGGACCCAGGUGGUCACAGACACCGUUCUGUGCCAUCUGAAAAACUUCUGAAUAAGGACACAGACGGUCACAGACACUGCUCUGUACCCUCUGAAUACCCUGUAAGUAAGGAAAAAGACAAUCUAAGACACUGUUUUGUACCCUUGGAAAAUUGAAAAGAGACACAUUUUUUAUUCAUUCUUGUUAUUGUUCUCAUUUUAUCCUGUGCAGUGUUUUCUUGUGAUUUGUUUCAGUUCAGGUGACCUUAAGAAUCAAACCAUCUGCAGUCAGAGACCUCCUUCAUUCUGACCUUAUCUACAGUUGAAGACCGUCACACAUUCACAACAUUCACUGAAGUUGUAGUCAUAUAUUUAAUAGCAGUACAUAUAAUAUUCCCCCUUUUUUAUAGUCUAGAGUAUAACUUACUACAUACUGUUGUAUCUACUUUUCUUCAUUUAGUUAAUUGCCAUUAUAUUGUUUAUUCAUUUUUAAGCCAACUGUUAGUCGUAUAUACUGCAUAUUGCUUGUGGAUUCAGUCAUUUUGUUUGGAUAUACAUAAUAUAAAACAUUCAAUAUAUUAAA
Molecule: long non-coding RNA, 2182 nt
Organism: Astyanax mexicanus (Mexican tetra)
Lineage: Eukaryota; Metazoa; Chordata; Actinopteri; Characiformes; Acestrorhamphidae
Exons: 5
Source: RefSeq, a predicted model, not a curated record